RNAcentral lists this ribosomal RNA (497 nucleotides) under uncultured bacterium. RNAcentral describes it as "partial 16S ribosomal RNA". It matches the Rfam family "Bacterial small subunit ribosomal RNA", at positions 28 to 507 of the family's 1533-position model. The record is from RNAcentral.
GAUGGACGCUGGCGGCGUGCCUAAUACAUGCAAGUCGAGCGAACGGACGAGAAUCUUGCUUCUCUGAUGUUAGCGGCGGACGGGUGAGUAACACGUGGAUAACCUACCUAUAAGACUGGGAUAACUUCGGGAAACCGGAGCUAAUACCGGAUAAUAUUUUGAACCGCAUGGUUCAAAAGUGAAAGACGGUCUUGCUGUCACUUAUAGAUGGAUCCGCGCUGCAUUAGCUAGUUGGUAAGGUAACGGCUUACCAAGGCAACGAUGCAUAGCCGACCUGGGAGGGUGAUCGGCCACACUGGAACUGAGACACGGUCCAGACUCCUACGGGAGGCAGCAGUAGGGAAUCUUCCGCAAUGGGCGAAAGCCUGACGGAGCAACGCCGCGUGAGUGAUGAAGGUCUUCGGAUCGUAAAACUCUGUUAUUAGGGAAGAACAUAUGUGUAAGUAACUGUGCACAUCUUGACGGUACCUAAUCAGAAAGCCACGGCUAACUACGUG